RNAcentral lists this ribosomal RNA (1760 nucleotides) under Salmonella enterica subsp. enterica serovar Agona str. SA-5. Its description in RNAcentral is "bacterial LSU rRNA". It matches the Rfam family "Bacterial large subunit ribosomal RNA", at positions 1 to 1718 of the family's 2925-position model. The record is from RNAcentral. Lineage: Bacteria; Pseudomonadati; Pseudomonadota; Gammaproteobacteria; Enterobacterales; Enterobacteriaceae.
GGUUAAGCGACUAAGCGUACACGGUGGAUGCCCUGGCAGUCAGAGGCGAUGAAGGGCGUGCUAAUCUGCGAUAAGCGCCGGUAAGGUGAUAUGAACCGUUAUAACCGGCGAUACCCGAAUGGGGAAACCCAGUGUGACUCGUCACACUAUCAUUAACUGAAUCCAUAGGUUAAUGAGGCGAACCGGGGGAACUGAAACAUCUAAGUACCCCGAGGAAAAGAAAUCAACCGAGAUUCCCCCAGUAGCGGCGAGCGAACGGGGAGGAGCCCAGAGCCUGAAUCAGCAUGUGUGUUAGUGGAAGCGUCUGGAAAGGCGCGCGAUACAGGGUGACAGCCCCGUACACAAAAGCGCAUGUGCUGUGAGCUCGAUGAGUAGGGCGGGACACGUGGUAUCCUGUCUGAAUAUGGGGGGACCAUCCUCCAAGGCUAAAUACUCCUGACUGACCGAUAGUGAACCAGUACCGUGAGGGAAAGGCGAAAAGAACCCCGGCGAGGGGAGUGAAAAAGAACCUGAAACCGUGUACGUACAAGCAGUGGGAGCACAGGUUUACCUGUGUGACUGCGUACCUUUUGUAUAAUGGGUCAGCGACUUAUAUUCUGUAGCAAGGUUAACCGCAUAGGGGAGCCGGAGGGAAACCGAGUCUUAAUUGGGCGUUAAGUUGCAGGGUAUAGACCCGAAACCCGGUGAUCUAGCCAUGGGCAGGUUGAAGGUUGGGUAACACUAACUGGAGGACCGAACCGACUAAUGUUGAAAAAUUAGCGGAUGACCUGUGGCUGGGGGUGAAAGGCCAAUCAAACCGGGAGAUAGCUGGUUCUCCCCGAAAGCUAUUUAGGUAGCGCCUCGUGAAUUCAUCUCCGGGGGUAGAGCACUGUUUCGGCUAGGGGGCCAUCCCGGCUUACCAACCCGAUGCAAACUGCGAAUACCGGAGAAUGUUAUCACGGGAGACACACGGCGGGUGCUAACGUCCGUCGUGAAGAGGGAAACAACCCAGACCGCCAGCUAAGGUCCCAAAGUCAUGGUUAAGUGGGAAACGAUGUGGGAAGGCCCAGACAGCCAGGAUGUUGGCUUAGAAGCAGCCAUCAUUUAAAGAAAGCGUAAUAGCUCACUGGUCGAGUCGGCCUGCGCGGAAGAUGUAACGGGGCUAAACCAUGCACCGAAGCUGCGGCAGCGAACGUAUCACUUAAAGCGAUUCAGCGGGUUACGAUUGACGGAGCGAAGCGACGUCAAAGCGUAUACAAAGUCGAGUCGGUUUAAGGAUACGUUCGUUGGGUAGGGGAGCGUUCUGUAAGCCUGCGAAGGUGGCCUGUGAGGGUUGCUGGAGGUAUCAGAAGUGCGAAUGCUGACAUAAGUAACGAUAAAGCGGGUGAAAAGCCCGCUCGCCGGAAGACCAAGGGUUCCUGUCCAACGUUAAUCGGGGCAGGGUGAGUCGACCCCUAAGGCGAGGCCGAAAGGCGUAGUCGAUGGGAAACGGGUUAAUAUUCCCGUACUUGGUGUUACUGCGAAGGGGGGACGGAGAAGGCUAUGUUGGCCGGGCGACGGUUGUCCCGGUUUAAGCGUGUAGGUGUGUGUUCCAGGUAAAUCCGGUUCACUUUAACACUGAGGCGUGAUGACGAGGCACUACGGUGCUGAAGCAACAAAUGCCCUGCUUCCAGGAAAAGCCUCUAAGCAUCAGGUAACAUCAAAUCGUACCCCAAACCGACACAGGUGGUCAGGUAGAGAAUACCAAGGCGCUUGAGAGAACUCGGGUGAAGGAACUAGGC